Molecule: non-coding RNA, 282 nt
Organism: Drosophila melanogaster (fruit fly)
Lineage: Eukaryota; Metazoa; Arthropoda; Insecta; Diptera; Drosophilidae
Source: Ensembl
UAAUAGCGGAUAACAACAGUUGAGUAUUUUUUCAUCUGAAUGCAACUAGCUGCUCCAAACUUCCGUUAAUAGCUCCAUUAGCUGAUCGAAUGGCCAAGUAACCACUUACAUUGACAUAAUACAUUGUGAGGAUUACAAAAGCAACGAAGCUUUCUCUCCCACCUAAUCUUGCCAAAGCCCCCACACAUUUACAACACUCGCUCUUUUACUCUCUCUAUACGCAAUGGCAAGAUAAAUGGUUGGGAGAGGGAGCUUUUCGAGCGCAGUAUUAAGGGGUAUAUU